AUUCAUUUAGUAUAAUAAGUAUAUUUAGCUUCCAACUAAAAGGUUUAAAAAUUAAAAUGAAUA
This 63-nucleotide transfer RNA is filed under the name Idioscopus clypealis. Its description in RNAcentral is "tRNA-Gly". The record is from RNAcentral. Lineage: Eukaryota; Metazoa; Arthropoda; Insecta; Hemiptera; Cicadellidae.